UACGUAGGGUGCGAGCGUUGUCCGGAAUUAUUGGGCGUAAAGGGCUCGUAGGCGGUUUGUCGCGUCGGGCGUGAAAACACCGGGCUUAACUCGGUGCUUGCUUUCGAUACGGGCAGACUAGAGGUAUGCAGGGGAGAACGGAAUUCCUGGUGUAGCGGUGAAAUGCGCAGAUAUCAGGAGGAACACCGGUGGCGAAGGCGGUUCUCUGGGCAUUACCUGACGCUGAGGAGCGAAAGUGUGGGGAGCGAACAGG
This 253-nucleotide ribosomal RNA is filed under the name uncultured bacterium. RNAcentral's name for it is "partial 16S ribosomal RNA". It matches the Rfam family "Bacterial small subunit ribosomal RNA", at positions 524 to 776 of the family's 1533-position model. The record is from RNAcentral.